Molecule: ribosomal RNA, 253 nt
Filed under: uncultured bacterium
Lineage: Bacteria
Description: partial 16S ribosomal RNA
Rfam family: Bacterial small subunit ribosomal RNA
Source: RNAcentral
UACAGAGGUGCCAAGCGUUGUUCGGAUUUAUUGGGCGUAAAGGGUGCGUAGGUGGUCAUACAAGUCGGGUGUGAAAUCCCGGAGCCUAACUCCGGAACGGCACUCGAAACUGUUUGACUGGAGGUCUGGAGAGGUGACUGGAAUUCUCGGUGUAGCAGUGAAAUGCGUAGAUAUCGAGAGGAACACCAGAGGCGAAGGCGAGUCACUGGGCAGAACCUGACACUGAGGCACGAAAGCUAGGGGAGCAAACGGG